ACGGUUAUAAAUCAACAUAUUGAUUUAUAAGCAUGGAAAUACCCUGAGUGAAACAACGAAUUGCUGUGUGUAGUCUUUGCCCAUCUCCCACGAUGGGCUUUUUUUUAA
Molecule: non-coding RNA, 108 nt
Filed under: Escherichia coli
Lineage: Bacteria; Pseudomonadati; Pseudomonadota; Gammaproteobacteria; Enterobacterales; Enterobacteriaceae
Description: antisense sRNA RprA
Rfam family: RprA RNA
About the family: Translational regulation of the stationary phase sigma factor RpoS is mediated by the formation of a double-stranded RNA stem-loop structure in the upstream region of the rpoS messenger RNA, occluding the translation initiation site. Clones carrying rprA (RpoS regulator RNA A) increased the translation of RpoS.
Source: RNAcentral